AAAAGAUCGCACGGCGCAGAGGCGGCAGCGGAUUUCUCGCGCGCGCGUUUCGACGAAAGAAUCGCGCAUGGAACGCGAUCGUGCGCUCUCUCCCUUUCUUUUUUUCUCUUUCUCUCUUUUAUCUCUAUAUACAGGACCGCGCGACUCUCCGCGUUCGUUUAGAAUCGUCGUGAAACAACGUGAAAAAUGAUAUAUACUCGAACGUCUACGUUCGCUCGUGAAUGAGCGAGAAAAAAAACAAAGAAAUCGCUUGACGAUCGACGUAGACGAUCGUGGCGCCUCUUUUGUUAGAACGAAAAUGGGCGAUAACAUUUAAUCGUGAAAUCGUUACAUUCGAGGCUUCUUUUACGGUAAACUACGUAAGAACGAACGCCUGGGAACGCGAUGCGUUGCGAAAGGCGAAUGCACUGCUGUCGCUUCGACGCAAAAAGCUCAUAUAUGCAUUUAGCACAAUGGCAUAGAGGUGCGAUAGAGGCGAUAUUACCUGACGUCGUGUUUUCGCCACGUGACGAUCGAUUUCGUCGUCGCCUAUGACGUCGAUCGAGCGCGCGUGCUGACAGCUGACGAACGUUAACUCGCAAUCGCUCGCUCGUCGAGGCUCGUAAACUCGUUAUCAGGAAUGGUAAAGAGGUGGUGGUUAAAUUUGUAGUUUGGAUUUGUAGAGAAACGUUGCAGACUCUCCCUAAGAGUCUUCCGUAAAAUAUGAGAAGAAGGAAAAGGCGGCUUUUAAAAGGUCCCCUUUAAAAUAAUCCGCAUUGGUUAGCGUUUGGUCAAAGGUAGCUUGGUCGAGUCCCCACCCGGAAGGAACAACUUACGAGGAAAAAAUUCGAGACCGAGUUUGACAUCGGAGUCGUCGCUAUCUACAGAGAGAGAGAGAGAGAGAGAGAGAGAGAGCGAGAGAGAGGGCCUACAUUUUCGACGAGAGGACAAAACUCGUCGGAAUAAUGGACCGAGAGGUCGUUAGGAAAAUGGAGUAACUCUGACGCCUACUAGGAAAAGGAGAAAAGAAAAAGUGUUUGGAUUUAAUAGAACGUUUUAUCUUUGCCACCCUAUCUAUGUUCGCUUUGCCAAUCGGAUCGGAUGAGAUAUUCAGCACCACCGAUGCCAAAGCUUUUUUAUUUCAUACACGUUAUUGUAACCGACAAGGGAAUCUACGAUCUAAGAGCGAGAGCGGAAGAGAGGAAGUAAGAGAGAAAGUUUCCUUCGAGGUAAGAAUUAUAGCAGCGGUAUCUCAUUCUCCCGUUCUCCGGUGUUCACUCUUCGGUCCACCUCCUUGACUCCUCGGUACUGCCAAGUUGGCUUAUCGGUGAGCACCUUUUUAUACUCGAACGAAACGGCACCUUUGUACGUUCGUCCAACGCUCGUAUUUCUUUUUCGUCCGACUGAUUUCUCUCAUCCCUUCUGGCCGCAUUUAUGUAAUUUCCUGUCUCGUUGCCAAUUC
Vespa crabro (European hornet) is the source of this 1441-nucleotide long non-coding RNA. RefSeq lists it as uncharacterized. Lineage: Eukaryota; Metazoa; Arthropoda; Insecta; Hymenoptera; Vespidae. The transcript has 2 exons. The record is from RefSeq and is a predicted model, not a curated record.